UACGGAGGGGGCUAGCGUUGUUCGGAAUUACUGGGCGUAAAGCGCGCGUAGGCGGACUGUUAAGUCGGGGGUGAAAUCCCGGGGCUCAACCCCGGAACUGCAUUCGAUACUGGCGGGCUAGAGGUUUGGAGGGGAGAAAGGAAUUCCGGGUGGAGAGGUGAAAUUCGUAGAUAUCAGGAGGAACGCCGGAGGCGAAAGCGGGUCUCUGGCCAGCUACUGGCGCUGAGGUGCGAAAGCUAGGGGAGCAAACAGG
This 253-nucleotide ribosomal RNA is filed under the name uncultured bacterium. RNAcentral describes it as "partial 16S ribosomal RNA". It matches the Rfam family "Bacterial small subunit ribosomal RNA", at positions 524 to 776 of the family's 1533-position model. The record is from RNAcentral.